Bombus impatiens (common eastern bumble bee) is the source of this 2820-nucleotide long non-coding RNA. RefSeq lists it as uncharacterized. The record is from RefSeq and is a predicted model, not a curated record. Lineage: Eukaryota; Metazoa; Arthropoda; Insecta; Hymenoptera; Apidae. The transcript is spliced from 2 exons.
CACAGUUCUGCCACUUCAUGCUGAUCGACUAGCUGCGUAUCGAUUGGGACACGCUGGCUCUGUGGCCCCGGCUCCACUCACGCGGACGUCCAAUCGUGUUGCGUCUGAAAUCAAAUUGAAUAAUAGUUACUAAGAGAAAUGGUGUACAUGGAAAGUGAAAAACAAGCUUGGUAGACAAACGGUAUGGUGGAAGGCUUAUCUGGAACGAGUCGACCGUGUCAAGGUAUCAAGAACGAUACUGGACUUACUGCGGUAGCUUUCACGCCUGGCCGAGGAGACAGCUUUUAUUCGUCUGUUUAUUUAUAAACCGGGUGUAAGUGGCGGAGCGUGAUACGAAUUACGAAAGGUGGUGAAUAAUCCGCGAGGAAUGGAGGGGAUGGCUUUCGACUUCUGUAUUUUUGUACAUAUAUUUCUAAUUUUAUUUUCACUCUGAGCUUAUUCCUCGAGAUAUUACUUGCAAGAUAUUACACCUUGAGUUGUAAGUUUUAUUUUAUCAUAGCAACGUGCGUCAUAGCAAAAGUAAGACAUUUGAAUGUAAAAUUUUAUAAAAUUAAGACAGAAAAUGAUCAUAGAAUUAAGAAUUUAGUACUUAGAAUUUAGGCAAAUCGAGAAUCGUAAAACUAAGAAUUGAUAAUGCGUCUUUUAUAUAAAUAUAUUGGCGUAAUGGACGUUUGGUGCGAUGAGCGUUAAAUUCCAGAAAAUUAGAGACGAUCGAGAUAAUUGCUAAAGAUUUAAAAAGACAUCGAGAUUCGAGAUCCAGGCAGAUACGUAGGAAAUUGAAGACGUUGGACUUAUCUCUGUACAAUCGUACGUUUAAUGUGUAUCGAAUAAAAUAAAAGACCAUGACUAAUAACCAAUGGUUCGCGGCUCGAACGUACACAUGGUAAAUUAUUAACGUUAAUAGCUAAUAAGUUGCGUACAACAGUAGCAACGGAAAAUCUUGCGAUAUUCUCGCAAAGAAAGAAACGAUUACAUGACCGAUUUUACGACCUUGCUAAGUCACGUGGCGACCUUGCCAGUAGGAAUGAAGCAAAGCUAAGAUAUACGCAUUACGCAUAAUAGCCUGUAGAAUCUAAUGAAAUGUUGAGUUAAUUCACCGACUAACAGCAUCGACGAACACGUUGAAUAUCUGAUCGAUUGUGAAAUACGGCAUUCCAUCCUUUUCAAUUAAUGUCUAAUCGAAGCUAAAGUUGUUAUACCUAUUCUAGAUGAUUUUCAAAGUUUAUCGGAAGUUUGCAGAACAUUUAAUAAUCGCAGGAUUCUGACAGAGAUUAUAAUCUCAGAGGGCCGGGUACUUAAAUUUAUUUUUCAGAUUUUUAUCAAUUCUUAUUAAGCAAAACUUUACUAUACACAGACGCGUAAAUUCCGACGUUUAUUCAGUUUUACGAACCAAUUAUAUUACGAAAGCUACUAUAAAAAUUUACUGUAAUUUCAAAAUCACAUAUAUUCGAUAUUUUAUAAGAACCAGAAACACAAGUUUAAGAUAUAUUCUACACACGCUAUCUGAGAUUCCCAGCUUCUACCGUUUCAGAUAUUUCUAUGAAUCUCUUUUAGCCAGAAACUCGAAUAUUUAAAUGUAAACCGAUUGUUAAACGUAAAUUUUAAUUUGGUCGAUUUUACGAUUUCGACGUGUCGUAAAAGCUGCGCUAUCGACGAUAACACAACCGGUAGCAGAUAAAAGUCGAUUAUGAUCGGUUAAGAGACCCUCUCUGCUAGUCGAAUCCUUGUUAUCCAACCACGCCAGAGAAACAGUGAGACGCGCAGGCUCGGAAUACGUGGAACCGGUUAUGCUGAUGGCAAAGUGUUUUUCACCUUUUGCACCUCCCUCUACCUGGCCAUCGCCCAGCCGCUCGCGAACACGCCGAUGCUCUUUCGUCUAGCUAGCACGACGCUGUCCAACUUAAGUUCCAGAGCUUUUAGUUGGCGAACCUAUCUCGCUUUUGUCCGACGACGUGUUAACAGGCGCGUCGUCGAAAUGAAAUAUUCGAUUCGGAGGCUCGGGAAGUACAAAUGCAGUUUUCUCAAGAAACGAAAUGAAUAAAAGAAAGGACGUAUCACGCGUGUACUUGCACAGGCUCACGAAGGUAUUCGAGUACGCGUUACACUUUGCAAUCUCAUUAACGAUAUUACCAGACUCUAUUAUCGUGAUUAUAUCGAUAGAGUUCAAAAGGAAUCUGUAAACGUAUGCAGGAAUUAUUUGAUAUUUAGCACGAGUAUAAUAUUUCACAGAGAUUACAAAAGUAUUUAAACGGUCGAUUAUUCGCUACUUUUGUAAGCCUGAAUAUUUAAUGGGACCAUCUUUAACACCUCUUACAUGCUCAAAGUGGAUAUUCGUGUCGUAUGCUAGUUAUGUACUAAAUAUAUACUCGCAACAAGUAUCUUUUGACUUGUUUAUAGAUUUUGACGAUCGUGAUAGUCGAGUCUUGUCACGAUGUUAAUGAAAUUUCAAAAUAUUUCACGUAACAUUCACCAAUGUAAAUAUACAAGUUUUCUAUUCAAAUACCUCCGUGGGCAUCUUACCGACCCAACAACAGCUAAUUGUCAUAUAUUUCUUCGUCUUGCGUAUUUCUGGUUUCUUGCAGAGAAAGGAAGCGAAAGAGAAAGAGAGAUUACGAGGCCCUCGGAUUUGAUGAGGAAAGUUUGGAGGAAUAAUCGAGUUUUUAACCAUCUAUAACGAGUUAAAUACUACAUAUUCAAAUGAGAAGCCAAAUUGAUCGAUUCCAUUAAGAUAAAUUGAUUCUUAGGAAGUUAAACAUUAAUCGUAAACCCUCUCCUAUUCGAAUGAAGUUUGUAUAUUUUAUAGAAUUAAAUUUCAUUUUA